CAUGAGCUAACCAAGGUUCUUAUGCCAUUUUGAGCUUAUUAUGGUAUUGCGGAGCUAAGUGGGCUAAUUAUGUCAUUGUUGGGUUAAUUAAAGCAAGGAUAAUAUGAAAGAGGAGAAGAAAGAGGGGGAUGAGGAGAAGAAGAAGAAAUCAAGAAGAAGGAGGACAAGGAGUAGAAGGAGGAGGAGGAGGAGGAGAAAGACUAGAAGGUCCUUGGCCUU
This 219-nucleotide long non-coding RNA is filed under the name Hordeum vulgare. RNAcentral's name for it is "long non-coding RNA (HVUL_LNC021424)". The record is from RNAcentral. Lineage: Eukaryota; Viridiplantae; Streptophyta; Magnoliopsida; Poales; Poaceae.